GAUGAAGAACGUAGCGAAAUGCGAUAACUAAUGUGAAUUGCAGAAUUCCGUGAAUCAUCGAGUCUUUGAACGCACAUUGCGCCCCCUGGUAUUCCGGGGGGCAUGCCUGUCCGAGCGUCAUUACAACCCUCAAGCCCGGCUUGUGUAAUGGGCGGCCGUCUCUCCCCCCGGGGGGAGACGCCCCCGAAACUCAGUGGGGAUGUCGCGAUACCGAAGCCUCAGCUAAUGGGUAAACCACAGCUGCAAUGGCCGCGGCCGGCGUCCGCCUUCCACGGUCCGUCCGCCUAGCGCGGGCUGCCUUCUCAAGGUUGACCUCGGAUCAGGUAGGGAUACCCGCUGAACUUAAGCAUAUCAAUAAGCGGAGGA
RNAcentral lists this unclassified non-coding RNA (366 nucleotides) under soil metagenome. Its description in RNAcentral is "partial contains 5.8S ribosomal RNA, internal transcribed spacer 2, and large subunit ribosomal RNA". The stretch from base 1 to 120 matches the Rfam family "5.8S ribosomal RNA", at positions 35 to 154 of the family's 154-position model. The record is from RNAcentral.